RNAcentral lists this long non-coding RNA (206 nucleotides) under Carica papaya (papaya). RNAcentral describes it as "long non-coding RNA (CPAP_LNC004972)". The record is from RNAcentral. Lineage: Eukaryota; Viridiplantae; Streptophyta; Magnoliopsida; Brassicales; Caricaceae.
GAAAGAAGGGGUGAAAAUUUGAGUUCGAGGGGUGUUUUUGAAAGAUAAAUUGAAAACAGGGGGUCAAAGUACAAAUAGAGAAAGUUUGGCCAUGUAGAACUGCCUAAUCAGCAGUCUCAACGAACUGGAGUACGCUGCCUGGCCAGGCGUGCUGACGUCGGCGCCACACAAGAGGCCACGCUGGUGAUCCGCGUGUUCCAUGAUUG